RNAcentral lists this ribosomal RNA (500 nucleotides) under uncultured bacterium. RNAcentral's name for it is "partial 16S ribosomal RNA". It matches the Rfam family "Bacterial small subunit ribosomal RNA", at positions 30 to 523 of the family's 1533-position model. The record is from RNAcentral.
AUUGAACGCUGGCGGCAUGCCUUACACAUGCAAGUCGAACGGCAGCGCGGGCUUCGGCCUGGCGGCGAGUGGCGAACGGGUGAGUAAUACAUCGGAACGUGCCCUAGAGUGGGGGAUAACUAGUCGAAAGAUUAGCUAAUACCGCAUACGAUCUACGGAUGAAAGUGGGGGACCGCAAGGCCUCAUGCUCCUGGAGCGGCCGAUGUCUGAUUAGCUUGUUGGUGGGGUAACGGCCCACCAAGGCGACGAUCAGUAGCUGGUCUGAGAGGACGACCAGCCACACUGGGACUGAGACACGGCCCAGACUCCUACGGGAGGCAGCAGUGGGGAAUUUUGGACAAUGGGGGAAACCCUGAUCCAGCAAUGCCGCGUGUGUGAAGAAGGCCUUCGGGUUGUAAAGCACUUUUGUCAGGAACGAAACGGUGGGGGCCAAUACCCUCUGCUAAUGACGGUACCUGAAGAAUAAGCACCGGCUAACUACGUGCCAGCAGCCGCGGUAA